RNAcentral lists this ribosomal RNA (159 nucleotides) under Cystobasidiopsis lactophilus. RNAcentral describes it as "5.8S rRNA". It matches the Rfam family "5.8S ribosomal RNA". Rfam says of the family: 5.8S ribosomal RNA (5.8S rRNA) is a component of the large subunit of the eukaryotic ribosome. It is transcribed by RNA polymerase I as part of the 45S precursor that also contains 18S and 28S rRNA. Lineage: Eukaryota; Fungi; Basidiomycota; Agaricostilbomycetes; Agaricostilbales; Chionosphaeraceae. The record is from RNAcentral.
AAACUUUCAGCAAUGGAUCUCUUGGCUCUCGCAUCGAUGAAGAACGCAGCGAAACGCGAAAUGUAAUGUGAAUUGCAGAAUUUUGUGAAUCAUCGAAUCUUUGAACGCACCUUGCGCUUUCGGGUUAUUCCUGGAAGCAUGCUUGUUUGAGUGUCGCGU